CUUAUUUGUUUUUCCUUCCCUUCACAGAUGUUCUGCUUUGCUUCUUUAAUUCCACCUAUGAAUGACACCACAGGGUCAUUCUGUUUUCCAAAUGACCUAUUUCACUUAGGAUGAUCCCUCUAGUUCUAUGCAUGACAUUGCAAAUGGCAAGAUUUCCUUCUCUUUGAUAACUGAGUACCAUUCCUUUCUCUAUGACCAUCAUCUAUCUCCCAUCCUCUUUAUCCCUCAUCUGCCACAGGGCACCGAGGCUCCUCCCACAGUGUGGCAAUGUGGACCCCGCUGCUGUGGACAUUGGGGUGCAGUUGUCCCACAUCUCACUGCAUCUGUAUCUUCGGAGUGAGCUCCAGGCCGUACACCUGCUGGUCGCAGGGCGGCUCUAUUUGCAACUUCCUGAGGAGCCUCCACACUGUUUCCAGGGUGCCUGCAGCAGCCCACGGUCCCGCCCACAGUGGAAGAGGGUUGAGUGAGUUUUACAGGACAUGGUAAAAGUCUGGUCCACAUUUCGUUUCACAUCCUUUGGGCUCCAAUUCUUUCUCCUUAAGUAUUUUUGGGGAAGCCGGGUGUUGGGCUCUUUUUCAGGCAGAUGUUUCCGAAGAUAACAGGCCACAGCUAGAGCCUGGAAGGAGGCAGAGGUGGGCCCAGAGACGGGCACGCUGCCUCCUGCACAGCCUCCUGUAGCGACUGAGCAUCCCGCAGUGGGUGCCCAGCCCAGGCACCGCCCAGGGGGCAUGCAUGUGCAGUAGGCCUCCUUUGCCUGCACUAACAGGAGCCAGCCUGUGCUGGGGAGGCCUGAGGAAGAUGUGGGGACAUGUCCACGUGGAUGAGCCACAGCCUCCUCAGAAACUACGCAGAGUCUUCAGGGGGAUAUUGGGCAGCGUUCAUGAUGACAGGAGCCUCAGUCUCUUCAGGACACACGGUGAGGCUUCAGGAAGAUGUGGGCCAACAUCCACCCUGACAAGAGACCCUGGGCCGCUUCCGGCCCUGCGGGGAGGCUUCAGGAAAUUGUGGGCCUGCACCCACCCUGACAGGAGCCCCUGGGCUGCCUCAGGACCCGCGGGGAGGCUUCAGUAAGAUGUGGGCCUGCAUCCACGCUGACAGGAGCCCCUGGGCCACCUGAGGACAUGCCUGGAGGCUUCUGAAAGAUGUGGCGCUGUGUCCACUCUGGCAGGAGCUAACUGGUUCCUCAGGUCAUAAGUUGAGGCUUCUGGAAGCUGGGGGCAGCAUCCACAGUGACAGGAGCCCCAGCCAUUCAGAACCUGUGGUGUCGCUUUGGGAGGACGUGGGGCCACGUCCACACAACAGACACUGAUGUCCUCAGGACACCCGGUGUAGUCUUCAGGAAAUAUGGAGAUGCGUCCAUGCAGACAGAAGACCCCAGCCUUGUCAGAGCCUGUGGUGAGGCCUAAGGAAGAUGUGGAUGCUGAAUCCACACUGACAGGAGUCUCCAGCCUCCUCAGGAUGCACUGUGAAGGAUCGGGAUGAUUUGGGGCCACGUCCGUGCUGACAGGAGCUCCCAGGCUCCUCAAGUCUUAUGGUGAGGCAGAGGAAAAUGUGGGGCCAUGUCCUCCUCAGGACCUGCACUUUGGCUUCGGGACACAUGAGGCUGCGUCUAGGCUGACAGGAACCCACAGCCUCCUCAGGACCCACUGUGAGUUUUCUGGGGGACGUGGGUCCAUGUCCAGGCUGACAGGAGCCUCCAGCAUCCUGAGAACCUGCUGUGAGGCUUCCAGAGUAUGUGAGGCAUAAUCCAGGUUGACAGGAGACCCGGGUCCUCAGUACCCGCUGACUAUGACUCAGGAACACGUGGGGCCAUGUCCCCACUCACAGGAGCCCGGCUUCCUCAGGACCCCCUGGAGGACUCUGGAGGCGCCGUUGGGGGCCACGUCCAUGUCAGAAGGGACUCCUCAGAACUCUGGCUCUUCUUCACAGGGGCCUGGGAUUGCUGGACGUGUGCAAAUGCUGAACUUAAAGUGGAAUGGCCAUAAUGUUCUCGGCCUCCCCACGUCCCGUCCCAUACUUUCUAGCUCCUGCCGCCCUCCCCGGAGCUCCUAAGAGAGCAAUUGCAAAUGACCUCAGCGUGGCAGCCUGUGUUGGGGGACAAGCCCCGGGAUUUGCGAUCAGGAAGACCUGGAGAUCGGCGUAUCGGCUAUGCAGCGUGAUUUGACGCUGCAGACUCUUAUUCCCUAAGGCUAUCUUGACAACUGACUUUGUACAUAGAAAAGUUCUCCUUUGUCUUUAAAAGAUGAGGAGAAAGUCAAAGCGUUUUUUCUCUGCCCAUCUGAUUGCUCAGAUUCCAAUCUGAGAUGUAUUGACUGUUAAUAUGGAUAAUGUACUAUCCGUAGUAGUAUUGUUAAAAUAUUCUGACACUAGUAAUUCAGAGGGAUGAGGCUUUCUCAACUAUUUCUUCACAGCUCAGUCACUCAUCAGAAAAUGCAUCUUUAUGGAUUUGGAAAUAACUGAGAGACAUUAUUACCAAUGGUCCUAUUAUUAUGUGAAGGAUUCUUCCCUGAAAUUCUUCCCCUGUUUCAACUGACACUGAAACACUGUGAACUCUUUGGAAGACAAAUGUCAAGGAGAUAAAUGUUAUGCUUUGCUAACUUUAAAUGCACUUGCAAUAUGGUGUCUAUUAUAAUAAAAGUUUUUUAAUCUGA
Molecule: long non-coding RNA, 2651 nt
Organism: Canis lupus familiaris (dog)
Lineage: Eukaryota; Metazoa; Chordata; Mammalia; Carnivora; Canidae
Exons: 2
Source: RefSeq, a predicted model, not a curated record